Molecule: ribosomal RNA, 253 nt
Filed under: uncultured bacterium
Lineage: Bacteria
Description: partial 16S ribosomal RNA
Rfam family: Bacterial small subunit ribosomal RNA
Source: RNAcentral
UACGUAGGGGGCAAGCGUUAUCCGGAUUUACUGGGUGUAAAGGGAGCGUAGACGGCGAUGCAAGCCAGAUGUGAAAGCCCGGGGCUCAACCCCGGGACUGCAUUUGGAACUGUAUAGCUAGAGUGUCGGAGAGGCAGGCGGAAUUCCUAGUGUAGCGGUGAAAUGCGUAGAUAUUAGGAGGAACACCGGUGGCGAAGGCGGCCAACUGGGCUUUAACUGACGCUGAGGCUCGAAAGUGUGGGGAGCAAACAGG